CCGAGAUGUGGCAGAUGAGCUUCCUCCAGGCCUGAGUUCAGUGUCGGCGAAUCAACAACGUAGACUAAACGAGAUGCCCUUAAACGGAAACACACCUAAGUUCAUCCUGCCUCCAAAACAUGUCCCCGAGCAGUCUGCCUGCCUCCGUCUCUACCGCCUGCCGCGUUAGAGGAGCCCCCCGGCCCUGCUGCCCACAGUGCCGCCCCGGCUUCCUGUGAUAGAUGCCACUGUGUGCACCUGUCAUGCUCUCCCUUUCCUGGGCAUGUGAGCUGUGCCGGCACUUGAUUGGCUGUCCCUUUUCAGACCCAGAGGAAGCAGGCCGAGAAAUGCUUCGGGCAGCGGGCAGCGUUGGUAAGGGUUUCCCCGGGUCAGGGCUGCUUCUGCAAACCGAGACCGGCCUCUAAACCUGGUAGGAAUAUUUUUGAGGCUGGAAGGGAUUUUUUUUUUUUUUUUUUUUAAGGGAAUAAACGUCUAAACAGUAGUUUCAGUAAGAGCUUGAAGAAAAUCUUGAAGGAACGCCCUUUCAAAAGUAGAGUUUUCUUGCUCGGAUCUUACUGAAACCACUGCCUCCUGGAACAAGGGGAUGAGAUGUUACCACAGUGGUUUCUGCUCGGUUUGUUUAAAAACCAGUAACAGAUGCCAAGAAAAAAGCUUAGUCUGGCCGACUUCUGUGGUGCCACCCGUGCCCUCGUUGCCCGGCCUCACGACAAAAAGCGGGCACGGCCCGCCUUCCUCCCCAGCUCCUCUGUGGUGUGAUGGCUUCGUCCCCACUGGCUCGGGUUGUUCUCUGUCAGCUGAGCAAAAGGAUGGGUGGAGUGCACAGAUUUUGUAACAUUUGUCUUGUGGUUUUACAGAGAAAGGGGUGAUGUAUAAUUAGAAAGGCCGAAAGGGAGCAGAGGAGACAGGAAGGAGGUACGCAGUGCUUGUGCAGCCGAGUGGAUGUCCGGGGCAGAAACGCACGGUCCCCGCCCCCGCCUGGGCUGAGGCUUUGAGUCUUCAGAGAAUCGCUUGAAUUGCACGCCACGAUGUUCAUCGUUUUCGUGCCCGGUGAGGGCUGGGCGUCUUCUCGAAGCACAGAACACCCAGUGAAUGAAUUUGAUCUUCCCUGCGUCUCACACUAAUGUUGUCUUCCUCCAAGUGGUAAAAGUACCAGAAAGAUCCCUUCUGGAAAUAUCAGUUGAGUUUAUCAUAAGUGAUUGGUGCUUGUAGUGCAUUACUCUAGUCGAGUUGAAGGAUGAACUUUCCAGGUAGCUUUGUCUCCAUGCCCUCCUACAAAGCUGUUACACUUGUUUGAUCUUUAAAUGUUUUCCUUUUGACCCAGGACGGUGUGAACCGUCCAUUCAUUCCCCAGUGGGAUGAUGGGUGUUUAUACUGAGCUGAUGGAAUACCUCACGCGAUUAUUAAAAGCGUGUGAAGCUG
Neofelis nebulosa (Clouded leopard) is the source of this 1419-nucleotide long non-coding RNA. RefSeq lists it as uncharacterized. The record is from RefSeq and is a predicted model, not a curated record. The transcript is spliced from 2 exons. NCBI's taxonomy places the organism in Eukaryota, Metazoa, Chordata, Mammalia, Carnivora, Felidae.